Molecule: unclassified non-coding RNA, 267 nt
Filed under: Hevea brasiliensis (rubber tree)
Lineage: Eukaryota; Viridiplantae; Streptophyta; Magnoliopsida; Malpighiales; Euphorbiaceae
Source: RNAcentral
AGAAGAAAGGAACUGAUCUUUGGUUAGCUUCACAUUUCCACUCCAUAUGACAUCCCUACCUGCUGGCCAAGUCAGUGGAAUCUUGUACUCCUUGGGAGGACGAACCAAACAAUUUUGGUGUUCUUGCGAUAACUCACAGUGCCUAUCAAAUUCCUCCCCAUCUUUAAGCCCAGCUAACAGAUUUGCCGAUACAUUAUGGCAAGGCACAUAAUUCUCUCUUUCCUUCCCACAAAGACCAACAUCCUUAAUCAGGUUAGCUCCCAGAGA